This 1480-nucleotide ribosomal RNA is filed under the name Lacticaseibacillus casei. Its description in RNAcentral is "bacterial SSU rRNA". It matches the Rfam family "Bacterial small subunit ribosomal RNA". The record is from RNAcentral. Lineage: Bacteria; Bacillati; Bacillota; Bacilli; Lactobacillales; Lactobacillaceae.
UAAUACAUGCAAGUCGAACGAGUUCUCGUUGAUGAUCGGUGCUUGCACCGAGAUUCAACAUGGAACGAGUGGCGGACGGGUGAGUAACACGUGGGUAACCUGCCCUUAAGUGGGGGAUAACAUUUGGAAACAGAUGCUAAUACCGCAUAGAUCCAAGAACCGCAUGGUUCUUGGCUGAAAGAUGGCGUAAGCUAUCGCUUUUGGAUGGACCCGCGGCGUAUUAGCUAGUUGGUGAGGUAAUGGCUCACCAAGGCGAUGAUACGUAGCCGAACUGAGAGGUUGAUCGGCCACAUUGGGACUGAGACACGGCCCAAACUCCUACGGGAGGCAGCAGUAGGGAAUCUUCCACAAUGGACGCAAGUCUGAUGGAGCAACGCCGCGUGAGUGAAGAAGGCUUUCGGGUCGUAAAACUCUGUUGUUGGAGAAGAAUGGUCGGCAGAGUAACUGUUGUCGGCGUGACGGUAUCCAACCAGAAAGCCACGGCUAACUACGUGCCAGCAGCCGCGGUAAUACGUAGGUGGCAAGCGUUAUCCGGAUUUAUUGGGCGUAAAGCGAGCGCAGGCGGUUUUUUAAGUCUGAUGUGAAAGCCCUCGGCUUAACCGAGGAAGCGCAUCGGAAACUGGGAAACUUGAGUGCAGAAGAGGACAGUGGAACUCCAUGUGUAGCGGUGAAAUGCGUAGAUAUAUGGAAGAACACCAGUGGCGAAGGCGGCUGUCUGGUCUGUAACUGACGCUGAGGCUCGAAAGCAUGGGUAGCGAACAGGAUUAGAUACCCUGGUAGUCCAUGCCGUAAACGAUGAAUGCUAGGUGUUGGAGGGUUUCCGCCCUUCAGUGCCGCAGCUAACGCAUUAAGCAUUCCGCCUGGGGAGUACGACCGCAAGGUUGAAACUCAAAGGAAUUGACGGGGGCCCGCACAAGCGGUGGAGCAUGUGGUUUAAUUCGAAGCAACGCGAAGAACCUUACCAGGUCUUGACAUCUUUUGAUCACCUGAGAGAUCAGGUUUCCCCUUCGGGGGCAAAAUGACAGGUGGUGCAUGGUUGUCGUCAGCUCGUGUCGUGAGAUGUUGGGUUAAGUCCCGCAACGAGCGCAACCCUUAUGACUAGUUGCCAGCAUUUAGUUGGGCACUCUAGUAAGACUGCCGGUGACAAACCGGAGGAAGGUGGGGAUGACGUCAAAUCAUCAUGCCCCUUAUGACCUGGGCUACACACGUGCUACAAUGGAUGGUACAACGAGUUGCGAGACCGCGAGGUCAAGCUAAUCUCUUAAAGCCAUUCUCAGUUCGGACUGUAGGCUGCAACUCGCCUACACGAAGUCGGAAUCGCUAGUAAUCGCGGAUCAGCACGCCGCGGUGAAUACGUUCCCGGGCCUUGUACACACCGCCCGUCACACCAUGAGAGUUUGUAACACCCGAAGCCGGUGGCGUAACCCUUUUAGGGAGCGAGCCGUCUAAGGUGGGACAAAUGAUUAGGGUGAAGUCGUAA